UACGUAGGGGGCAAGCGUUGUCCGGAAUCAUUGGGCGUAAAGCGCGUGUAGGCGGCCCGGUAAGUCCGCUGUGAAAGUCCAGGGCUCAACCCUGGAAUGCCGGUGGAUACUGUCGGGCUCGAGUCCGGAAGAGGCGAGUGGAAUUCCUGGUGUAGCGGUGAAAUGCGCAGAUAUCAGGAGGAACACCGAUGGCGAAGGCAGCUCGCUGGGACGGUACUGACGCUGUGACGCGAAAGCGUGGGGAGCAAACAGG
Molecule: ribosomal RNA, 253 nt
Filed under: uncultured bacterium
Lineage: Bacteria
Description: partial 16S ribosomal RNA
Rfam family: Bacterial small subunit ribosomal RNA
Source: RNAcentral